UAAGCCUUCCUUAGAUCCACUUUAAGAACACAUCUAGGUGAAACUCCUUUCCUAGAGUAUCCUUUAAAGAUUUCAUGACUGAGAAGGAUGUUAUCCAUUAUACUCCUGCCUUCUAUACAAGCAGAUUGUGCAGGUCCAACCAAGUCUCCAAUUACUCUCUUCAUUCUACUCUCUUCAUUUUCAUCUGGAUAUUUCAUAGAGGAGAGCUUCUUUAAAUAAGAAAUUAUU
This 228-nucleotide long non-coding RNA is filed under the name Nicotiana benthamiana. RNAcentral describes it as "long non-coding RNA (NBEN_LNC004889)". The record is from RNAcentral. Lineage: Eukaryota; Viridiplantae; Streptophyta; Magnoliopsida; Solanales; Solanaceae.